CCUACGGGGGGCUGCAGUGGGGAAUAUUGGACAAUGGGGGCAACCCUGAUCCAGCCAUGCCGCGUGUGUGAAGAAGGCCCUCGGGUUGUAAAGCACUUUCAGUGAGGAAGAACGCCUGGUGGUUAAUACCCAUCAGGAAAGACAUCACUCACAGAAGAAGCACCGGCUAACUCCGUGCCAGCAGCCGCGGUAAUACGGAGGGUGCGAGCGUUAAUCGGAAUUACUGGGCGUAAAGCGCGCGUAGGUGGCUUGAUAAGCCGGUUGUGAAAGCCCCGGGCUCAACCUGGGAACGGCAUCCGGAACUGUCAAGCUAGGGUGCAGGAGAGGAAGGUAGAAUUCCCGGUGUAGCGGUGAAAUGCGUAGAGAUCGGGAGGAAUACCAGUGGCGAAGGCGGCCUUCUGGACUGACACUGACACUGAGGUGCGAAAGCGUGGGUAGCAAACAGGAUUAGAUACCCUUGUAGUC
RNAcentral lists this ribosomal RNA (465 nucleotides) under Vreelandella stevensii. Its description in RNAcentral is "partial 16S ribosomal RNA". It matches the Rfam family "Bacterial small subunit ribosomal RNA", at positions 338 to 795 of the family's 1533-position model. The record is from RNAcentral. Lineage: Bacteria; Pseudomonadati; Pseudomonadota; Gammaproteobacteria; Oceanospirillales; Halomonadaceae.